This is a long non-coding RNA of Pezoporus occidentalis (night parrot), 1099 nucleotides long. RefSeq lists it as uncharacterized. The transcript has 4 exons. NCBI's taxonomy places the organism in Eukaryota, Metazoa, Chordata, Aves, Psittaciformes, Psittacidae. The record is from RefSeq and is a predicted model, not a curated record.
CUACAUGCACACAGCAGCAGCAAUGAUGCUCACCCUGAAAAGAAUCACAGCCUAUCACUGUUAUUUCCUCCCUUGAAAAGGAAUACAAAAAUCAUGCUGCUUACCCCAGCUCUGUUUGCUGACCUGAUAACUUAUUCUACAACUGGUAAGAUUUGAAGCACCUUUCCUGCAAAACCAGCCUCCAGCUCACAUGAAGCAAAUCUCUGGACAGAAACAGCUCAGGUUCCAUGAGGAAUUAUGAGGGAGACAGAAAGGGACUGGAUUGUAUGCUGGAGCCUGGGAGCCUGGCUUGGGGAAACUGGAGCAGAUCCAUGUGUGUAGAAGGUCCAUGCCAAUGAUCAUCCUGAGCCUGGUCUUGCCCAGAGCCUGCAUGGCUGCUCCACAUCCCAACAAAGGAUGGCUACAGUCAACGUAGCUAGAAAGGCACAACUUUCAGCAGUGUGUUCUCCCUCCUGCUGCCUGCUCCAAGCGGCUGUGAAUCCCCAAUGGAGUUCACCUUCCCCCUCGAACACGCAGGAAGCAGAACACAGAGGCAGGAUCAAACAACAAAGUCUUUACUCUCAGCAAAGCCACCCUGACUGAAAACCAUGACCAAAGAUGUACAAGAAUAUUCUCUCUGGCCCAGUCCUAUGUGUUCCAACAAGAUCAAACACCCUGACACUGAGUGUUCUCAACUCUGCAGAAGCCACAUCAACAACUAUUAAAGGUCUAUUCAGAGCCUAUAAACAUUUUGUGCAGCAAGUAUAUCAAGUUAUGUGUAAAUACUCACAUAUUUGAUACGUUUCCUUUGGGGCCUUUUGAUGUGUAUCCCAAAUAUUACUCUGCUGAAUGUACCACUUCAUUAUUGUCCACAAAGUCAAGAGAACACAUUAUCAGUAAACAGAUAAUGGCUUUUACUUGAGACUUAAGAUGAUGAAGACACUAAGCAGUGCAUGUGGGUAGUAACAGAACCUGGUAGAUGGGUGAUAAGAUCCUGUCUUCCUUUUGUUGUUCUGUCUUCAUCUGAGACAACAUUGGGGAGGUUGGAAGAUGUGAAAAUUGCCUGUGGAUUGCGUGUGGCGACAUGCAUUGCACCAGAGUCCUGAGUUAAGUAAUAAAG